This 324-nucleotide ribosomal RNA is filed under the name uncultured eukaryote. RNAcentral describes it as "partial 18S ribosomal RNA". It matches the Rfam family "Eukaryotic small subunit ribosomal RNA", at positions 1470 to 1796 of the family's 1831-position model. The record is from RNAcentral.
CCCUUAGAUGUUCUGGGCCGCACGCGCGCUACACUGAUGCAUUCAACGAGUUUCUUCCUGGUCCGAGAGGAAUGGGUAACCUUUUGAAAGUGCAUCGUGAUAGGGAUAGACUAUUGCAAUUAUUGGUCUUCAACGAGGAAUUCCUAGUAGACGUAGUUCAUCAGACUGCAUCGAUUACGUCCCUGCCCUUUGUACACACCGCCCGUCGCUCCUACCGAUUGAAUGCUCAGGUGAGCCAUUCAGACCUUCAUCAUGCCGGUUUCCGGUUUUGAUGAGGGAAAGUCUUGCGAACCUUAUCAUUUAGAGGAAGGAGAAGUCGUAACA